AUGCCUGCAACUCCUCGUUCCACUGCAUGUCCUCUAUCUCCACAUCGUCGUACGACAUUGUUAGGUUUAUCAAACCUGUAAUUUGUUUGUUAGGUUGUCCUCUAUUGAUUUUUGUUUUUUUUUUUGGGCAGAAAAGGAGAGAAACUUUGGCGUCAGCCUAUACACAAACGCCAAAAGCCAAAGCAAGGACGAACAGAGCUUUUUAUGGCAGAGAUUACUGAGUUGAGUCUCUUAUAAAGGGGAAAUCUUUAGGGUUUUCGUUUUGAAUUUACAUGGGCUUAAACUAAGUUAUUCAAACUGCUUUGAACUUUGUAGAAGCAAGGCGAGAAAAGGAGAGAUUUGAGGUUGUCGGGUACCAAGUAUUUAUAGACCUUGGACAAUCCCUGCCCUGUCCUUGGCCAUAUGUGCGGAUCCAAA
RNAcentral lists this long non-coding RNA (417 nucleotides) under Gossypium barbadense (sea-island cotton). RNAcentral's name for it is "long non-coding RNA (GBAR_LNC008622)". The record is from RNAcentral. Lineage: Eukaryota; Viridiplantae; Streptophyta; Magnoliopsida; Malvales; Malvaceae.